UGGGGAAUUUUGGACAAUGGGCGAAAGCCUGAUCCAGCAAUGCCGCGUGUGUGAAGAAGGCCUUCGGGUUGUAAAGCACUUUUGUCCGGAAAGAAAUCCUUGGCUCUAAUACAGUCGGGGGAUGACGGUACCGGAAGAAUAGGCACCGGCUAACUACGUGCCAGCAGCCGCGGUAAUACGUAGGGUGCAAGCGUUAAUCGGAAUUACUGGGCGUAAAGCGUGCGCAGGCGGUUUGCUAAGACCGAUGUGAAAUCCCCGGGGCUCAACCUGGGGAACUGCAUUUGGGUGACUGGCAGGCUAGAGUAUGGCAGAGGGGGGUAGAAUUCCACGUGUAGCAGUGAAAUGCGUAGAGAUGUGGAGGAAUACCGAUGGCGAAGGCAGCCCCCUGGGCCAAUACUGACGCUCAUGCACGAAAGCGUGGGGAGCAAACAGGAUUAGAUACCCUGGUAGUCCACGCCCUAAACGAUGUCAACUAGUUGUUGGGGAUUCAUUUCCUUAGUAACGUAGCUAACGCGUGAAGUUGACCGCCUGGGGAGUACGGUCGCAAGAUUAAAACUCAAAUGAAGG
This 567-nucleotide ribosomal RNA is filed under the name uncultured bacterium. Its description in RNAcentral is "partial 16S ribosomal RNA". It matches the Rfam family "Bacterial small subunit ribosomal RNA", at positions 355 to 911 of the family's 1533-position model. The record is from RNAcentral.